CGAAAAGUGAGAAUACUCCCGGAA
Molecule: non-coding RNA, 24 nt
Filed under: Gossypium hirsutum (cotton)
Lineage: Eukaryota; Viridiplantae; Streptophyta; Magnoliopsida; Malvales; Malvaceae
Source: RNAcentral